UUUCUUGACCCAAAAUCCCACACUCCAAGCUGAGCUCCUGUGACUAUGCAUACGCCAGAGAGAUCACCUAUAAAGCUUUCAGGGUUCUCAAUUGGUGCAGUGCUUACAUGAGAGAAUUUCUUCCAUUUAACUGGCUCAAACCAUCGACUAUCCUGCUCCUCAGGUCCCUGCCACUUGGGUGCACCAAUUGAAACAUGGGUGUCCCAGUACGGAAGAAGGAUUUUAGGAAGGGAUGCUAAGUGUUGAAUAUGGAUACUUAGCCGAUUCUGCUUAGCUCCUUCAAGAGAUAAUCGCAUGCCUGUAGCAGGCUUACGUCCAACUGAUAUCUGCUCCUGGCUUACAUAAAGAUUUGGUCCCAUCAUACUGAAUUGCAGAGAUGGGCAAACAGGUUCCUUUCUUUGGU
This 403-nucleotide unclassified non-coding RNA is filed under the name Hevea brasiliensis (rubber tree). Lineage: Eukaryota; Viridiplantae; Streptophyta; Magnoliopsida; Malpighiales; Euphorbiaceae. The record is from RNAcentral.